GGUUGAUCCUGCCGGACCUUACUGCUAUCGGGUGAAGACUAAGCCAUGCGAGUUAUGCUUCCCCUAGCCAUGUUGGGGACGCAGCGCACGGCUCCGUAACACGUAGUUAAUCUGCCCUUGGGACGGGUAUAACCCUGGGAAACUGGGGCUAAUUCCCGAUAGGCGCAGUGGCCUGGAAUGGUACUGCACCGAAAGGGCUCCAGGAACAUGCUCUUGGAGUCGCCCAAGGAUGAGGCUGCGGCCGAUCAGGUUGUUGGUGGGGUAACGGCCUACCAAGCCUAUAACCGGUACGGGCCCUGAGAGGGGUGGCCCGGAGAUGGGAACUGAGACAAGGUCCCAGGUCCUACGGGGCGCAGCAGGCGCGAAAACUCCACAAUGCGCGAAUGCGUGAUGGGGUUAGCCCGAGUGCCGUCCGAUGAGGAUGGCUUUUCUUCAGUUUAAGGAGCUGGAGGAAUAAAGGGGGGGCAAGACUGGUGUCAGCCGCCGCGGUAAUACCAGCCCCCUGAGUGGUAAGGACGAUUAUUUGGCCUAAAGCGUCCGUAGCCGGCUUGGUAAGUCUUCCGUUAAAUCCGACGAUUCCAUCGCCGGACCGCGGAAGAUACUGCUAGGCUUGAGGACGGGAGAGGUUGACGGUAGUCCCGGGGUAGGGGUGAAAUCCUAUAAUCCCGGGAGGACCACCAGUGGCGAAGGCGGUCGACUAGAACGUGCCUGACGGUGAUGGACGAAAGCUGGGGGAGCGAACCGGAUUAGACACCCGGGUAGUCCCAGCUGUAAACGAUGCGAGCUAGGUGUUGGAGCAACUACGGGUUGCUCCAGUGCCGCAGAGAAGUUGUUAAGCUCGCCGCCUGGGAAGUACGGCCGCAAGGCUGAAACUUAAAGGAAUUGGCGGGGGAGCACCACAAGGGGUGAAGCCUGCGGUUCAAUUGGAGUCAACGCCGGA
RNAcentral lists this ribosomal RNA (940 nucleotides) under uncultured archaeon. Its description in RNAcentral is "bacterial SSU rRNA". It matches the Rfam family "Archaeal small subunit ribosomal RNA", at positions 6 to 922 of the family's 1478-position model. The record is from RNAcentral.